This 1452-nucleotide ribosomal RNA is filed under the name Limosilactobacillus fermentum. RNAcentral describes it as "bacterial SSU rRNA". It matches the Rfam family "Bacterial small subunit ribosomal RNA". Lineage: Bacteria; Bacillati; Bacillota; Bacilli; Lactobacillales; Lactobacillaceae. The record is from RNAcentral.
GCUAUACAUGCAAGUCGAACGCGUUGGCCCUAAUUGAUUGAUGGUGCUUGCACCUGAUUGAUUUUGGUCGCCAACGAGUGGCGGACGGGUGAGUAACACGUAGGUAACCUGCCCAGAAGCGGGGGACAACAUUUGGAAACAGAUGCUAAUACCGCAUAACAGCGUUGUUCGCAUGAACAACGCUUAAAAGAUGGCUUCUCGCUAUCACUUCUGGAUGGACCUGCGGUGCAUUAGCUUGUUGGUGGGGUAACGGCCUACCAAGGCGAUGAUGCAUAGCCGAGUUGAGAGACUGAUCGGCCACAAUGGGACUGAGACACGGCCCAUACUCCUACGGGAGGCAGCAGUAGGGAAUCUUCCACAAUGGGCGCAAGCCUGAUGGAGCAACACCGCGUGAGUGAAGAAGGGUUUCGGCUCGUAAAGCUCUGUUGUUAAAGAAGAACACGUAUGAGAGUAACUGUUCAUACGUUGACGGUAUUUAACCAGAAAGUCACGGCUAACUACGUGCCAGCAGCCGCGGUAAUACGUAGGUGGCAAGCGUUAUCCGGAUUUAUUGGGCGUAAAGAGAGUGCAGGCGGUUUUCUAAGUCUGAUGUGAAAGCCUUCGGCUUAACCGGAGAAGUGCAUCGGAAACUGGAUAACUUGAGUGCAGAAGAGGGUAGUGGAACUCCAUGUGUAGCGGUGGAAUGCGUAGAUAUAUGGAAGAACACCAGUGGCGAAGGCGGCUACCUGGUCUGCAACUGACGCUGAGACUCGAAAGCAUGGGUAGCGAACAGGAUUAGAUACCCUGGUAGUCCAUGCCGUAAACGAUGAGUGCUAGGUGUUGGAGGGUUUCCGCCCUUCAGUGCCGGAGCUAACGCAUUAAGCACUCCGCCUGGGGAGUACGACCGCAAGGUUGAAACUCAAAGGAAUUGACGGGGGCCCGCACAAGCGGUGGAGCAUGUGGUUUAAUUCGAAGCUACGCGAAGAACCUUACCAGGUCUUGACAUCUUGCGCCAACCCUAGAGAUAGGGCGUUUCCUUCGGGAACGCAAUGACAGGUGGUGCAUGGUCGUCGUCAGCUCGUGUCGUGAGAUGUUGGGUUAAGUCCCGCAACGAGCGCAACCCUUGUUACUAGUUGCCAGCAUUAAGUUGGGCACUCUAGUGAGACUGCCGGUGACAAACCGGAGGAAGGUGGGGACGACGUCAGAUCAUCAUGCCCCUUAUGACCUGGGCUACACACGUGCUACAAUGGACGGUACAACGAGUCGCGAACUCGCGAGGGCAAGCAAAUCUCUUAAAACCGUUCUCAGUUCGGACUGCAGGCUGCAACUCGCCUGCACGAAGUCGGAAUCGCUAGUAAUCGCGGAUCAGCAUGCCGCGGUGAAUACGUUCCCGGGCCUUGUACACACCGCCCGUCACACCAUGAGAGUUUGUAACACCCAAAGUCGGUGGGGUAACCUUUAGGAGCCAGCCGC